AGGACGAACGCUGGCGGCGUGCCUAACACAUGCAAGUCGAGCGAGAUCCAUCCAGUGGCAACACUGGUGAAGAUCUAGCGGCGAACGGGUGAGUAACACGUGAGAAACCUGCCCCGGAGACCGGGAUAACUCGAGGAAACUCGAGCUAAUACCGGAUACCCCCACCGAACCGCAUGAUUUGGUGAGGAAAUGCUCCGACGCUCCGGGAGGGUCUCGCGGCCUAUCAGCUGGUUGGUGAGGUAACGGCUCACCAAGGCUAAGACGGGUAGCUGGUCUGAGAGGACGAUCAGCCACACUGGGACUGAGACACGGCCCAGACUCCUACGGGAGGCAGCAGUGGGGAAUCUUGCGCAAUGGGCGAAAGCCUGACGCAGCAACGCCGCGUGGGGAUGAAGGCUCUCGGGUUGUAAACCCCUUUCAGGAGGGACGAAAAUGACGGUACCUCCAGAAGAAGCCCGGCCAACUACGUGCCAGCAGCCGC
This 481-nucleotide ribosomal RNA is filed under the name uncultured bacterium. RNAcentral describes it as "SSU rRNA". It matches the Rfam family "Bacterial small subunit ribosomal RNA", at positions 26 to 518 of the family's 1533-position model. The record is from RNAcentral.